UGUAGUCAUAUGCUUGUCUCAAAGAUUAAGCCAUGCAUGUCUAAGUAUAAGCAAUCUAUACAGUGAAACUGCGAAUGGCUCAUUAAAUCAGUUAUCGUUUAUUUGAUAGUACCUUACUACUUGGAUAACCGUGGUAAUUCUAGAGCUAAUACAUGCUAAGAACCUCGACUUCGGAAGGGGUGUAUUUAUUAGAUAAAAAACCAAUGCCCUUCGGGGCUCCUUGGUGAUUCAUAAUAACUUAACGAAUCGCAUGGCCUUGUGCCGGCGAUGGUUCAUUCAAAUUUCUGCCCUAUCAACUUUCGAUGGUAGGAUAGUGGCCUACCAUGGUUUCAACGGGUAACGGGGAAUUAGGGUUCUAUUCCGGAGAGGGAGCCUGAGAAACGGCUACCACAUCCAAGGAAGGCAGCAGGCGCGCAAAUUACCCAAUCCCGACACGGGGAGGUAGUGACAAUAAAUACUGAUACAGGGCUCUUUUGGGUCUUGUAAUUGGAAUGAGUACAAUUUAAAUCCCUUAACGAGGAACAAUUGGAGGGCAAGUCUGGUGCCAGCAGCCGCGGUAAUUCCAGCUCCAAUAGCGUAUAUUAAAGUUGUUGCAGUUAAAAAGCUCGUAGUUGAACCUUGGGCCUGGUUGGUCGGUCCGCCUCACCGCGUGCACUGAUCCGACCGGGCCUUUCCUUCUGGGGAGCCGCAUGCCCUUCACUGGGUGUGUCGGGGAACCAGGACUUUUACUUUGAAAAAAUUAGAGUGUUCAAAGCAGGCCUAUGCUCGAAUACAUUAGCAUGGAAUAAUAGAAUAGGACGUGUGGUUCUAUUUUGUUGGUUUCUAGGACCGCCGUAAUGAUUAAUAGGGAUAGUCGGGGGCAUCAGUAUUCCGUUGUCAGAGGUGAAAUUCUUGGAUUUACGGAAGACUAACUACUGCGAAAGCAUUUGCCAAGGGAUGUUUUUCAUUAAAUCAGUGAACGAAAGUUUAGGGAUCGAAAGAACGAUCAGAUACCGUCGUAGUCUUAAACCAUAAACUUAUUGCCGGACUAAGGGAUCAAAU
This 1041-nucleotide ribosomal RNA is filed under the name uncultured Hyphozyma. Its description in RNAcentral is "SSU rRNA". It matches the Rfam family "Eukaryotic small subunit ribosomal RNA", at positions 19 to 1063 of the family's 1831-position model. The record is from RNAcentral. Lineage: Eukaryota; Fungi; Ascomycota.